Molecule: ribosomal RNA, 253 nt
Filed under: uncultured bacterium
Lineage: Bacteria
Description: partial 16S ribosomal RNA
Rfam family: Bacterial small subunit ribosomal RNA
Source: RNAcentral
UACGUAGGGUGCAAGCGUUAAUCGGAAUUACUGGGCGUAAAGCGUGCGCAGGCGGUUUUGUAAGUCUGUCGUGAAAUCCCCGGGCUCAACCUGGGAAUUGCGAUGGAGACUGCAAGGCUAGAAUCUGGCAGAGGGGGGUAGAAUUCCACGUGUAGCAGUGAAAUGCGUAGAGAUGUGGAGGAACACCGAUGGCGAAGGCAGCACCCUGGGUCAAGAUUGACGCUCAUGCACGAAAGCGUGGGGAGCAAACAGG